RNAcentral lists this ribosomal RNA (453 nucleotides) under Asaphes suspensus. Its description in RNAcentral is "partial 16S ribosomal RNA". The record is from RNAcentral. Lineage: Eukaryota; Metazoa; Arthropoda; Insecta; Hymenoptera.
CUGCUCAAUGAAUUUUAAAUAGCUGCAGUAUCAUGACUGUACAAAGGUAGCAUAAUCAUUUGUCUUUUUAUUAAAGUCUAGUAUGAAUGAUUUAAUGAAAUAAAAUCUGUCUCAAAUUAAAAAUUAAAUUUUAUUAUAAGUUAAAAUUCUUAUAUUUAAUUAAAAGACGAGAAGACCCUAUAGAAUUUAAUAAUAUUAAAUUUUAUUUAUUAUAUAAAUAUUUUUUUAAAUAAUUUUUUUAUUAUUUUGUUGGGGUGACAAAAAAAAUUAAUAAAUUUUUUUAAUAAAUUAACAUUAAUUAAUGAAUAUAAUUUAUCCAUUUUUAAUGAAUAUAAAAUAAAUUACCUUAGGGAUAACAGCGUAAUUUUUUUAAAGAGAUCAUAUUGAUAAAAAAGUUUGCGACCUCGAUGUUGAAUUAAGAUAUAUUAAUAUUGUAGAAAAUAUUAUAUUAAG